UAUUAAAAAUCUCAUUUAUUUCUGAUAUUAAAAAUUAACAUAGCUGAUGGAAUAAUUAGAGAAUUACACAGUGAGUUGUAAUGUAUACCUCCUUUUGACGUACAAAGUCAAUUUGUUAACAGCUGAAAUAGAUAGAAUUUUUAAUA
Molecule: microRNA precursor, 146 nt
Organism: Gossypium arboreum
Lineage: Eukaryota; Viridiplantae; Streptophyta; Magnoliopsida; Malvales; Malvaceae
Rfam family: MIR7502 microRNA precursor family
Source: Rfam